Nothobranchius furzeri (turquoise killifish) is the source of this 2980-nucleotide non-coding RNA. The record is from RefSeq and is a predicted model, not a curated record. Lineage: Eukaryota; Metazoa; Chordata; Actinopteri; Cyprinodontiformes; Nothobranchiidae.
GUUAGCAGCAAUGACCACAUCUGCAAAACCCAUAAAGAAUCCAACAAAGCGAAUCAUUUUCUAUGGCAGUAAACAGCUCCGCCUUAAAUAGCUCUGUUCAGCACAUCAGACCCAGCACUUCACUUCAGGCUGAGGCGAUGUGUGCAGACAAGACAGAAAGGCUUCUUUUCAGCGGUGUGUGAAACAGAAACCGCCUCCUGUGUGUCAGAAACAUGCAGGAGACUCUUUGUUCCAUAGCUCACCUUCUGAAACUCUUAACUGUAGAAUAACACCACGACUGCACGUGUAGGAGUACAGCUAGUGUCUUUUUGAUUUUUCACACCCUUGUGUGAAAAUCUGACAGCAACAGACUAAACUUCUUUUUGAGGAAACACCUGGAUGCAUGCACAGUUGUCACUAUUUACAGGUGUAAUGCAUCCUGCCAGCAGCUCCACCAGGCUCCACCUGCACAGGACUGUUGUGAUUCAGCCCCAUUGGAGUGAUUUCCAGCAGGAACGAUAGGGUCAAACGUUCUCCUUCAAGAUGUUUUUGCUAUGGAUCCAUCAUUUACAGCAAGUGGUCCAUGUUCUGAAGCAGCAGGGCAGCCCCAGAUCCUCACACACCAUCUUUUACUGGUAUGUUUUUCUGAAACAGUCAUAAUUUUACUCCAGAUGUAGACACACGCCUUCCAAAAAGAAAACAAACUAUUUUGUCUCAUCAGUAGAAAUAAUGUUUUCCCAAAAGUCACAAUAUUUAGCUCUUGUGUUUCUUGAAAAAGUCGUGACGUGUUGCUUUUGGAAAUCUUUUAGGCAAUUGAAUGAGAUUUCCUACAGGUCUUCAGGCCUGGGUGUGUCUGGUGCUUAACUCAUAAUCACAAGAAUUCUUGAUUCAACACGGGAGCAAUGACUAGUGGUGGACAGCUUUUUCUCUAAUAAAUGAAAUCCUAAUUGCAUUUCCUCUUUACUUGGUUACCUUUGUCUGAUUUUAAAAUACUGAUGUGAAACAUUUACUGGUGACAAAAAAGUCAAAACAGGAGGAAACACCAGCAAAAAGUUUGGACGGUGUGACAUAAUUGUUCCAGGAGAGAUCUGAUUCAGAACAUCCCAGACAACUGAACGAAUCACGUGGUGCAAAUUCUGUCAGGUUAACACAGGAAAUGACAUCUGAGCAAAACGCACAUGGUGUAAAUAACACAGUUUGGGUCUGAGCAUCAGUCAGCACCACGAUGAGGAAAACACCAGCAUCCAUCUAUUCCUCCUGCUUGCGUCUCAGCAGCAAAGUCUGCUGACUGAAGCAAGAAUGCAUCGAAUCAAAAAACCUUCAAAUGAAGCAAAACACAAAUCCAUUUUAUUUUCACUUUUGCACGCGCAGGCCCUCGCCAUACGGCCUGUGCACAGUUUUCUGUCUCCAACAUGACAUGUCAGAUGGCCGUGUUGAUGACGAGCCUCGUGGAGGGAAAGCCAGCCCCUGCUACGGUGAAAGACCAUCAGUGGACCUGAACGGCACCGAUCAAUGCGGAGCCGAACCGUUAACGGCAAAUUAGCGGACGCUGCCGCACAGGGAUUACGGUCUACGUAUGUGUGUCUUCUAAAAAGGCGGACGGAGAACAAAGAAUACGACCUCUGUUUCCUCAGAUAUCCCCGCAGAAUGCACCAAAGAGCGCUUCUUUAUGCGGAUUUGUUAGGAUUUUUCUUCGUUGUCAUAAUUAAUGCUGAUUUAGCCUGCUGACAGGCGUGUGCGCGUUUACAGUCGCACCAAAUUACAAAUCGCAGUUCAUUUAAAGAACGCACAAACACGCGCACGCACAUCUGGGAUGGAUGGAGCACAAGAUCCGGGCAGGUCCUUGGUGAGGGAGUAGUGGGCUACAGUGGCAAGGUCACAAGCGUCGUGCAAAAGGAAAACAGUGCGCGUAAACAGAAUCAACAAUCCGGUCACCUGUUUGUGCUUGAAGCCGCCUUCCUCCGCCGCCGAGGAAACCCCGCAGGCCCCGGCUGCUCCGAUGCCUUUUGUGUUGCUGAUGCUGCGGGUACCCGACGCGAGACGGUCCCGCACAGCUGUACGCGUGCGAGACGGAGAUGGAGAAAGAGAGAAGGGAGGGCGUGGCUGGAGGAGCACCGCGCGGCGCCGCGCGUCACGAUCCGAGCGCGGGAGUGAGAGAGCGCGCGCGCUCGUCUCAACUCACAGAAGAAGAAGAAAGAUGAAUGGAAACGCAGCGGUCAUCCCAGGAGGCUAAUUCAACAACGGAGCUUAUUUCCACAGGGAUGAACUAAUCACUUCCUGCUGCAUGAGCUCAAAUGUUCUGUUUUCAAAUCUAAAUGAUUUAGAAUAAAUCUAAACAUUUAUGGUUAAGCUACAUGUUUGUGUGUAAAGCUGCUCAGAUUGCAGUAAAACAGAAGCAAAUGACCAAAAUAAAAGCAGGGUGAUGAUCUCUAACGAGUCCCUUUGAUUUUCAGAUAGACUGCAUGAGUGUGAUCAUGUUCCAGAGACAACAGGAACACUGACGCACCGAAGGAGAUACAUGCUGCUGCUUUUUUAAAGCAAUCCAAACACACACUGGCUUAAUACAACGUUUAAAACCCCUUCAAAUUUGAGAUAACUUUAAAUUGUCUUAAUUCUGAUACUUCAAUUUGGAAAACCACUCCCCACACCGUGGAGGCCAUGGCCAGCUCCUGAGACAUCCAAGAUGUAAAACCAAACUGAGUUCUUCAUUCCCAUUGCAGUAGACUCCAUAGCUGUUAUAACAGCUGUUAUAACUACCGUCACUAUCCUGUUACUCAAUUACAUCACAGAUAUACGUGUGAAAUACCCAGAUACACGUUUUAUGUCUGUCUUUAUGCAGUUUCUUCGUGGAAACUCAACUUUUACUCCAUUUUUAUUCUUUUUUUAGUGCUAAAGGUUAGCAGCCUGUGUGUAUUGUUUUUUUCCUAUUCUCUAAGUGUAUAAGCUGCAUUGACAACUGAAUUUCUCCACUGUGGGAUCAAUAAAGUCUAUUCUAUUCUGA